Molecule: long non-coding RNA, 2622 nt
Organism: Cyprinus carpio (common carp)
Lineage: Eukaryota; Metazoa; Chordata; Actinopteri; Cypriniformes; Cyprinidae
Exons: 3
Source: RefSeq, a predicted model, not a curated record
AACCGGACGAACAAGCUUAUGCUCAAAGCUUUCUUCAUCCGUCAGUUCUAUUUACUCUAAUGGUCAAUGUGCAACUUGAGUUGAUAGUGUAAGCUCACUUUGGUUAAUGUGUAAGCAGGACAGCGGGUGAGUCUUAGCGGCGAAAUGACUUCCACAUAUAAGAGUUCAUGAUGAUUCAUUCAGACAGUAUUAAACAGACCAUUGGAGGAGCGUGCUAGGGCUUUGUGGGUCGCGUGCUAACACACCCUGCAUGCGCAUGUCUUUGAUGUGACACACAGCUCAGUUGUUCCAGCUGCUUUAUCACAAUCCCUCAGUCCUAACCCUGACCCUAUCCACAAUCAUCAUAGAGCUCCUCUUACUGCUGCCACAGUAUCGCUUGGGUGAGGAACUCUUAUCACAUAAUGAAAAACUGUCAGUGGUAGAGGGACUGUGGGCACAAGGACAAGUGAUCAUAAUAGAGGACUUAAGGAGAAAACACAUCAAAAUCUCCACUCAUAAACCACAUGAAAGGAAAACUUCAAGACAAGCAUUGCUUGUAAGGAUCUUUUCCUUCUCAAAUUGCUCUAGCAACAGUGUUCAAAGAUGGAGAACUGCAGUAUCUGGAAGCAGACGUGAUAUUGCAUUAUCUUUGGCUUCAACCCAGCCCCAAAUACUAGAGAACAUAAGCACUGAACUCUGAUCUGGAUUUGACUACUGAUCCACACCAUUUCUGUUCCUUCACUGCAGUACUCAGAGUGUUAGCAAGUUUUUGGGUCACUGCCAUCAGUAUCGAUCCUUCAGCCAUUGGGUUUGCAGCACAGACUCUACCAACUUCCAAAUGACUGUCAACUACUCAUAUGACACGAGAGGCAAUAGAUUGCUGGUAGUUUCUCAAAGUGAAUAUGGUAAAGAAAAAAAAUGCUUGCUUAAAAAACCAAGGCUGAGAACAGACAAAAAUAUGAUACAAAAAUCCUUAAAUCUAAGCUGAGCUAAGGCUUAAACCGCUUACAAAAUGUGAAGAAUCAGAAAUGUUGAGAUAUUUCAGUUUGAUUACUUUCAGUCUCGCCUUUGAAUGGCCCAGACUCCAAGGUCAGAAUGGUUUUCAUUUACUUUUUUUCAAAUUAAUUAAACUUACUGGCUAACAACUGAGAAGAAAAAACAUGCCAACCAUUUUACAAUGGAAAAAUUCAUGUAGUUUUUUUGGACAUACCAUGGUAAUACCUUGGUAUUCUUUGAGAUUGAGAUUCUUGAAAACACAAUGGUACAUUAAUCCAUGAUUUUUCCAGGACUGCUCUAGUCAUUUGUGAUGACUAGAUAAGGAUUUUUAAAAUCACUCUGUAGAUAAUACACCCACAAAGAGCAAUUUCUAGCCAAAUAGUAUAACUAUAAAUAUUUAUAUUGACUGUACAUAUAGAAGAGAUUCACACACUUUUUUCAGCCGAACCCCUUUGACCAAAAAUAAUUUACCAACACGUUUGCUCAUUCAUGGUUCUCUGAUAUUGGUAAAUGGUCACAUGACAUAAAUUAGGGUAAACAUAUAAAAUAUCACUUGUAAAAAUUUUGAUUGUAUUUAUUUAUAAAUUAUUUAUUAAAUUUGAAAUUUUUAUCAUUUAUUAUAAUUAUUAUAUCAUUCAAGUCACAAGACCUCUGCAGUUUCCUCACAAACCCCAGUUUGUGUAUUUUACUAAAUGUUUCCAGCCCUGAAAAUUAUACUUUUAAAUUUCAAUGAUUUUCCAGAACCAUGGGAACCCUGUAUAACACAAUACUUUUACUGUACCAAAGUGCCACCACAGUACUUUUUUUGCAGUGGAAACUUUCCACACAAUGAGAAUGUUACUUUCAUAGUGGUUGAAACUGCCUGACCAGAUUCAGUUGUUUUAUAUAAUCAUCAAGUAAGUAUUAAUGAUGUGGUCACACUAACAUCAUAGCUUCUCAUUAGCAUGCUAUAGUUUAAAUAUCUAUGUAACCAUGUCACAGUGACCAGAACCAGUGACAUUGAUUCAUGUCUCAUCUUUAUGGCUGUAGGUAGAGCACAGUUGACAGGUGGCUGACAGUGAGCAGGCCUGCAGCUGAACCUCUCCUCACUUCAUCCUUCCAUCUUUACACUUCAUUUCCCCCGCCGCUGCGGCAGUCGUGGCAUAUGACUCAGUGCCCUAAGAGUGGCCUGCAACGCUGUCUCCAGGGACCAUCACUGCCUACAGCUUUAACCUGUAGUUAAAACUCAAAAAAAAACUGCUUACUCACUCUGUGCUGCCCACGUCCACCGGCGUUAUCAAACUCUGCAUUAUUUAUGACCGUCUAUCACACCCUCCUUUCCUCUGCCUAUAUUUCUCUCAUCUUCCUGUAUGUUUUCCAAGAUAUCACAUGUCCUUGUAUAUGACCAUGGCCAACUUUAAAUGCUGUUCCUGAUUUACUUCCCAAAUAUGACAUAUUUUAGAUUUAUAUAGCAGUGAAGAAAGGUAAUGUAUUUUGAUUAAAGAUUUUUUUUAAAUAAUAUGCACCAGUGAUUCGUUAAUAAUAGGACACUGAGUAUGUUUUAAGAAGUUGAAUGUGAGUGUAUUAUCUGAGUAUAUGGGGUGAAAUAAUGUUACCACAAAACCACAAAUAAUAAUAAUAAUAAUAUAAAUAAAUAAAUAAAUAAAA